This 555-nucleotide non-coding RNA is filed under the name Pongo abelii (Sumatran orangutan). Lineage: Eukaryota; Metazoa; Chordata; Mammalia; Primates; Hominidae. The record is from RNAcentral.
CCUGUAAUCCUGGCACUUUGGGAGGCUGAGGCGGGCGGAUCAUGAGGUCAAGAGAUGGAGACCAUCCUGGCCAACAUGGUGAAACCGUGUCUCCACUAAAAAUACAAAAAUCAGCUGGGCAUAGUGGCGCACGCCUGUAGUCCCAGCUACUUGGGAGGCUGAGGCAGGAGAAUCGCUUGAACCCAAGAGGCAGAGGUUGCAGUGAGCCGAGAUUGUGCCAUUGCACUCCAGCUUGGGCGACAGAAAAAAAAAAAAAAGAGAAAGUGGCACAGCUGAGAUGUGAACCUAGCAGUCUGGGCCCCAGCCUGCUUUUAGCCACUUGGCCAGCAUUCCCUGAGGUGGGAAGCUUUCAGAAAUCCUGAUGUCCAGACUGUACCCCAUCCUGAUGAAACCAGAAUCCAUGGGGUGUGCCCCAAGCACCAGCCAUUUCUUCAACUCUCCAGGUAAAGAAGAGCGACAGGGACAGCGCUGAAGGGCACCACCUUGGGCUUUCGAGGCCCAACACCUCCUCAGCCCCCAACAUGCUCCACUCUCUCAAAAAAACAACAACCCGCG